Molecule: ribosomal RNA, 442 nt
Filed under: Paenibacillus sp.
Lineage: Bacteria; Bacillati; Bacillota; Bacilli; Caryophanales; Paenibacillaceae
Description: bacterial SSU rRNA
Rfam family: Bacterial small subunit ribosomal RNA
Source: RNAcentral
UACUCCUUCGGGGGGGCAGCAGUAGGGAAUCUUCCGCAAUGGGCGAAAGCCUGACGGAGCAAUGCCGCGUGAGUGAUGAAGGUUUUCGGAUCGUAAAGCUCUGUUGCCAGGGAAGAACGCUUGGGAGAGUAACUGCUCCCAAGGUGACGGUACCUGAGAAGAAAGCCCCGGCUAACUACGUGCCAGCAGCCGCGGUAAUACGUAGGGGGCAAGCGUUGUCCGGAAUUAUUGGGCGUAAAGCGCGCGCAGGCGGUCAUGUAAGUCUGGUGUUUAAUCCCGGGGCUCAACCCCGGAUCGCACUGGAAACUGCGUGACUUGAGUGCAGAAGAGGAGAGUGGAAUUCCACGUGUAGCGGUGAAAUGCGUAGAGAUGUGGAGGAACACCAGUGGCGAAGGCGACUCUCUGGGCUGUAACUGACGCUGAGCGCGUAGCUACUUAUCCC